Long non-coding RNA from Solanum stenotomum, 189 nucleotides. RefSeq lists it as uncharacterized. NCBI's taxonomy places the organism in Eukaryota, Viridiplantae, Streptophyta, Magnoliopsida, Solanales, Solanaceae. The transcript has 2 exons. The record is from RefSeq and is a predicted model, not a curated record.
UCGAGAUGCUCUGCAAGCUUCUUUGGAUAAACUUGCUGAGAAACAAAAGCAAGAAAUCGAAAAGCAACGCGGCAAUUCAAAUGCUCCUUGAUAUUCUGGUGUUAUGAAAUGUAUAGUGAUAGUUCAAGAACAUUAGCAAGUGAAGUUCUUCUGCCAACCCAAAAUCUCCAAUCGUAACUCGCUUCCCAC